Long non-coding RNA from Gasterosteus aculeatus aculeatus (three-spined stickleback), 8028 nucleotides. NCBI's taxonomy places the organism in Eukaryota, Metazoa, Chordata, Actinopteri, Perciformes, Gasterosteidae. The record is from Ensembl.
AUAAAAAUGGCAUUUUCUUGCAAAUAAUAAUCCGGCAGGCCGCACUGGACCCCCCGGUGGGCCAUGGAUCCGGCCCCUGGUUUACACAAACAACCAAUUGUGAGCCACACCGGUGUUGGGCCCACCUUGUUCUUGCCACCCUUUUGGUGUUUUGUCUCCAUCCAUGAGACCUCUCGGGAAACUUAACAAUAAUAUCAUAUAUCAAGAGCGAGAUGUAUUUACACCCUAGGAAGCAGCCAACUCUGUAAUAUGGCCUAGAGUCAUGGCAUCUACUCUGCCUGCAGGAAAGUGUGGCGUCGGUAAUCAUAGACAACACACUUCUAAGCUAAUGAUUCACUGGAGCUGCUGCCAUUACACACCCACCUUCAACUUUAAUAGAUGUUAAGGGCUGGGGGCUCCUCCAAAUAUAAACCCAUGUGGAUGGAGGAAAAAGAAAGUGGAUGACUCAUCAGAUGAUUUUCCAUUGCCCAGGGCUCCAGGUCUUGAGCUCCUCCAACUGCUUAUGCUUCUGUGCAAUGGCAUCAGAUACAUCUCUUUUUCUGCAAGAGAGAUCGUUUUAUUUAAUACUUUUCUUCUUAUCCACAAAUCCCAUAAAAAGACCCAAACCAACAGCAAAUUAAUCCGACUAACAAGAAUGUUUGUGUAAACACAGCUCUUGUUCAUCUGUGUCCAAAAAGGUAAAGCUAUCGAUGGUCAACAUUUUUCCAUUAACAUCCAGCUAUGUGAGAAAAGAGAAAGGUUGUAUUCAGCAGGCGCUUCUGUAAAUGUAUUAAAAGAAAUUAUCUGAUUAAUCGCACAUUUUGAAAUGCAUUAAUCGAGAUUAAUCACAAUUAAAGUUUGUUUUUCUUCCAAAGACUGAAUCGUAUUAAUUAACGAGUUAUCACUUUGCAAAGCAUGUAUUUUAGACACCGUUGUUUAUUGUAUUUUGUAUUUUUAACACAAAACUACACACAGGUGAUCACUUUGAAGGCAGAAUUCCACCGAGUGGAACAUGUUGAACUAGUGGCUCUUCCUGCUGUCCUCGUGCACUUUGCUCUCAACUCUCCAUCAUUUAACGGCCGUGCCAAACACAGCCAACAAUCUCCCCACAUUUAGCCAGGACUCAGUCUUUUAGGACAGUGAUGGUCCUCUGCAGACUGUGAGACGACGCGUGUUUGCUUUUUUUUCAUUUCUUCUCUUUGGUUGUCGACUUAAAAGUCUCUGGAAUUUCCUGUGACAUGCUGCCAGUUUUGUAAAAAAUCUUGUAGCUCUGAGAACCUGCUUUUUGCCCAUUUGUCCUAUUUGGUUGACUGUUUAUUGCCGCGGAUUGCCUCCCUCUCUCCUCUACCCUCAUCAUGCACUCUCGCCCCCUCUUCUCCUCUGCGUCUGCCAGCCAGACGCUCUCAAUAUAGCUCUGCUCAUAAACACAGAGCGAGACAGAGAGAAGGAGGCAGCGAGAGAGUGAGAGAAAGGCUCCUGUGACAGUAAUAAAAAUGAGUGAGGGACAGGGGAGAGAUGGAGAUUGGGGUGAAUGAGUGGGUGGAGAGAAGGAGGGAGGAGAGGACACACAUGUAGAGCAGACCUACAGAGCGAGAGAGAGAGAAUCAAGCAAAGCAGGGAGAUACUGCAACAAGCAAGACAGUGAGGGAGAGAGAAGAAAUAUGAGAGGAGCAAAAGAAAAAUGACGUAGGCAGGAGAGAGGAGGUCAAGAAAAUGAGAGAUGGAGACCAGAAAACGCACUAGUGUGAAGUGACGGACAGGUGGAAGGAGGAGAGGGUUGGGGUCAGAUCUACGGUGGCCCUGAAGUGCAAAACACAACGGCAAAUAGGAACGCACAACGAAAUGAACUCCUUACGGAAAGGGUAGGUCCUUAUAGCAGAGGACGGACCCUUCUGAUUGGACAGACGGACUGUCUGUCUUUUAACAGGAAAUUAUACAGGGCCCUCAAGUGUCAGGCAUUGAGCGAGACAGCCACGCACUCCCACCACACAUCCAAUUCCUCACGCCAAGGAAUCGUACUCCGGUCCCCGAGCCGUGUCGGCCAUAGGCCCCUAGGCCCUGCCGGCCGUAGCGUCCGCGGUACCCCCCCGGAACGUCCCCCUUUUAUUUACAACACCUAAAUAUAAUUGAACAACAAAACACCGGUAAAACAAUGGUGAAACACCUGUAGGACACUUUUAAGACACUCGUAAAACAUCGCCAUCCCUCCGUGACUUCCACCCUCAUCACAGGCUCUCAGUCCCGCCUCUCAUUUAUUGAUUGACAGAAUAUCUAGAAAGCGGCAUUUCUCAGCUUUCAGAAUCCGAUUGUGCAAAUAGUUAAAGGAGUCACGGUCAUUUGAAUCCUCCAUGUCACUUUCCGUUGCCGGCAAAAGGCUUCGGAUUAAGAGGGUUAAAAGACAGACAGUCCGUCUGUCCAAUCAGAAGGGUCCGUCCUCUGCUAUCUGCUAUAAGGCCCUACCCUUUCCGUAAGAAGUUAAUGUCGUUGUGUUUUCCUAUUUGCCGUUGUGUUUUGCACUUCAGGGCCACCGUACAGAUCGCUUGGAAAAAGAAAAGCAGUGAUUGAAAGGAGAGCAAGACACAACAUAUCAGGGUUUCUCUUUGAAGGCCGGAGUUGGCUAUUUUAACCACUUAAAUAACGAAGCUCAUGGCUGCAGGGACCACACACACACCAACAAACAUGCACACGUUUGCCUUUGCAGAGCCCAAUAAGAAAAGUGUCGGUGCAAAAAUCACACAAACUUGAAAUGCUUUCGUAAUAAACAAUCUUAGCACAGGAGUUUCCGGUCUGUAGAGCGGCAGCAGAUAAUCGCAAUGCGGCUUUACACGUCCUCCUACGACAGAUGGAAGUUGGUAACUGUUGGACUUAACUUGGUCAGGUGGCCAGAGAGAUGAAUUGUAAUUUUAAACCCAAAUUUUCGAGUACUUUCUCUGGGUGUGUAUAAGAAGCAUGCACGUCCCGGUUUUUGAUGAAUGAUGAAGCAGGUGUUUUGACCGUUGUGUUGAUUGCAAGAAAACUAGUUUGUAGAAGUUGUUAGCUUGUUGUUAGACGGCCACCUCUGGUGAUGGUGGUAAUUCUGGCCGGAGCAAAGGUGGAUGUUACGUGUAGAAGAAGAAAACCGCCACCUGCUACGGCUGGAAAUUCAGUUUGAUGAGAAAGCGUGCCAAAAUGCUAAUGUAACACUAAAACACUGAGCUUGAGGUUGCUUAAACACUGAGGAGCUGAGGGCAAUGGGGAGAGAUCGCUGAUGAUUAAUUUGACCUUACAGGCAGUAGAUUGAUUCAUUGCUAAGAGAAGCUAUAAACAGUAAACCCUUAUUUUGAAGGACAAGAUUCAGUAUCUAAGGCAAACUUCCCUCAUCCCUCUGUACUCUUUAUCCGCUACAACAAAUCAAAAUGUUGCUUCAAAUAAUGCAAUUAAUUUCUCAUUUUGACAUAAUAUUGAAACUGCCACACUGACUCAUAACAACCCUGUCACCCCGUAGUAGAAAGAAGCAAAGAAGAACAAAAAGACAGGGCUGGAUCUAGAAAGUGAGUAGUGGGAACAGGUGAGCAAUUGUGCAGGUGUGAAUAAUGUCGGCCAGAUUGAUAAUCACAAAGGUUGGGAAAACAAAAACAGCACGAAGUUAAAGAAGACAAGACCCGCAAGGAGUCUUCAAAAUGAAAGCAGGAAACACUACACCUGGAGGAAAAACAUGAAACAAGAAAAAAACCAACAAAGGACACAAAAUUCUCUAUUAACAGAAAGGUGGAGCACAGUCCAGUCUCAUCAUAGAAAGUCAGAGGACGAUAACAGGUCCCUGCAAAAUAUGUCAUGUGUGUUGUGUGGCUUUAUUUAGCCGGUCGCUCCUAACCUCCCAUUUACCUUGAGCACAUGUAAGACAGGAAGGUGUGAAUGGCUGGGAGAGUCGGAGAAAGAUGGAGGGAGUGAGUGAGAAAACACAACGUUGUAAUUACCGGCUACAUGCUGGUUCGGCAAUCAUAGCCUCUCCUCCUCGCUUGAGUUUCCUCCCUUACUCUUCCCUCCGUCAUUCUCGUCUCCUGCAGACCUCCACCGCUCUUUCUCUCUCAGGGGGUCCGAGCAAUCAGGGCAGAUAUACACUUCAGUUAUCAGGCUUCUACCUACACAUUUGCACAGAAAAUUGCAUACUGUGAUGGCGGCAGAGCUGAGAAUAAUUACAGCCAUCACUGUCCCCGUCUCUUGGGACAACUGUCUGUCCUAUGUGGGCAACCAUAGGUAUAAAGUAUAUAGUUAUUCCUAUGCUGAUGGUUUGUAAGGCAUUGACAUUGUGUUUGGGUUGGAGGUGGAAAGGCAUUAUACAAUAGUGUCUGGAAGGGCUGCAAAGGACAUGCUGUAAAAUGCUUAUUCAUUAGUACACGUGGUACAAUAUCCAUAAAACGUGUAUGCUGUUUGUUUACCAUUGAUUUUAAGAGAGAUUUAGCUUCUAAAAAGAAUUGCUUUCCUGGCCUGUAAAGGACUUUGGUUAUCUGAAAAGUGAAGCGCAACCCCUUCGGUCCAUUGUGUCCCUGAUGAAUGGGUGUGAUUGUGAUUCAGAGUUAGUCCUAAUGGGCAGACAGCAGCCAGCAUAUCGCCCUUGAAAUCUGACUGUGUGUGAUUGGUGGAAUAAAAAGCAUUUUCAGUGGAUGAAAGACGAGAAAGGCGCUUUACAAACACAGUGCAUUUACAAUUUAACAUUCAACUUUUCAAUAUGUUUUAAUAAAGAAAAGAAUAGAUCAUAUUUUACUACUAUAUGCUUUAAACUAUGCAAACAUUUGAUGUUGCAAUAAUGGUGUUCCACUAGGUUCUAUCCUGGUAACUGUCAGGGAUUGCGGGGGGUAGGACUCAGACGCAGAGUUCAAAACAAAAGGGACUUUAAUUGUCAAAAAAGGUUAAAGCAAAAGGCCAAGGGGCAAAAACACACAGGAACCGGGGGAAAAACGGGAGACAGAAACUACAACCGUCCACGACGAAAGACAAGGACAAGCGUGGCAAAAGACAAUGACGCGACAAGUGACAACAGACACACGGCUUAAAUACACUAGGGAGGUGCAGGUGAUUGGACACAGGUGGAAACAAUCUGACAAUCACAGGGGAUGACAGGACCAGGCAGGAAGUGAAGUUACACGGGGACACGAGUGGCAGAAAACUACAAAAUAAGACAGGAAGUGCACCACACAGUGACAGCUGGAUUUACAUCUGCUCUCUUUUUUGAGUCAGCAUGUUUUUCUUUAGCCAAAAUUAGCAUCCCAAUUAUAAUCAAAGUUAUUGUGAUUUACAGAUGCGCCGUCCUGACCAAGCAAUUAACCACAAUCAUUAGCUCGUAACUGUAAGCUUACAGCACCUGGCUUCAUCCCUCCACACCUUCUUUCACACAUUUGGUCAGUUCUGGCUUUAAAAAGACAAAUGUAAAAAAAAAAGCCAGCGACAGCAACAAUGUCAAACGCAAGGCUUAAAAACAAUAUCCAUAAACCGACGUGCCACGUUUCUGUAACCGUGUCCAUUUCUUCUGAACAUUCUACGCAACUUCAACGGCAAUCGUUCCUUUGACAGCAUUGCUUGCGUUAUUAGGGAGAAACAGCAACAACCACCACUGUCGAUCAGAUACCUAAUAAUCGUGAUAAUGAUUUUGACUUAAUUUAUACCACAAUUUUUGAUCCAAAGGUUCCAAAGUGUUUAGAAGACAAGGAGCAGAUAAACAGAGUGUUACAUUGAUCGAUGUUCAGUUGUUCAGUUUGAGCACCAUCGACUCGCCUCUGCACAUGUCGGAUUGAAUGCACUCUCGUGGUUCUCUAAGACAUAAUUGUGUCAAAUUUGUUGAAUUAUAAUGUAGAGUUGCCAGAUACAAUAUACGUGGUGGUAGAUGAAGGUUCCACUGUGAAAUCGAAUGUGUUUGUGUGGGAUGCCACCUCCAGCACUAACGUCAUUUAACAAAAAGUUCAGUAGUUAGAACUGAACUUUGUCUGCCUACAAGUGGGUGGUAGCAGAAUUCUCUGGUUUUUAGUACCGUUCAAGUUAAAAGUAAAGUUUAACAAGGAUUGUCAUUCUUAGAGUGGGCGGUAUGUGUGUGUGUCUACACGUGAAACUUAAGUUAACUUAAAAUUAAGUGAAGAUCAACUCUGGGGGAGAUAUUUCAUCAAAAGUCUUAUUUUCUGUCUUUCUCCCAGUGUUCCCUCAUAGGUCUGAGGUCACCAUCUAACUACAGUUCAAUGUCUAUAUACUCUACAUUAAUAAAUACUUAAAGAAUAACGUUAUAGAGGUGUAUAACUACAUUUAACUGUGAAUUGUAUGUUCAUUCUGCUUAUGCAUUCAGAAUGAGGGCUUAAACCAACACUACACUGUUUUUUUUUUUUUGUAGGUGGCCAAUUUUCUGUUUUGCUUGUUUGCCCAACAAGCUUCAGCUAUUGAUACGCACAGCAUCAUCAACAGUGACAUACAGUAUGAAUCAAAUGAUCUUCCAUGAGCCAAUCACAAUAAGAGAGAGAGAGGAACAUUUUAAAAUCUUCUUACACAUUGGACCAUUGGUCCAGUUUGUUCUGUUUCCAAAGGUGUCUCCAAGACACAUGUUCACAUGUGUGACCAGGGUGUCAUUUUCCUUUCAUUUAGCUAUUUCCUCUUUGGGAUGUUGUAACUGAAGGUCUCAUGACUGCCUUGCCUCUUCUCAUGGUGAUGUGUUCAUCACACAGGCUGCAGGUAGACAAUGUGAGGCAGACACCAACUCCAGUGCUCUACAGAGCGUUAAGGACGUCUAUAAUCAUUCUGCAUGCGGACUGUUGGUGAAGGUGAAACUAACACUAAUGCCUGACCCUUCUGAGAGAGAGGUUUUAUAGAUUAACAAAAGUAAAGCAACUACUGGUAAAGCAACAAAAGAGUAUCCCAUACAUCCCACAAUGAUAGUCAAUAUCAUCUUUCAUGAAAGGCAUGUAAUAAACCCGCUAAGUACCCACUAUGGAAUUGACUUUGACCCUUUAAAAGUCUCAGUUCAGACGGUUUUGUUAGUAAAGUUUAAUGGUAUGAAUAAAGAAAUGAAAAUAUAUUUCCAGCACACUCAUAUGUUAUUAUGCAUGCAGUGAGCCUCAGCUCAAUGCCUCUGUGAACUGUUCCCCCGCAGGUCAGGUAGCUUUUUGCAUCUCUUUUGAUUUAAGUAAAUUAUUUAUUUACUGGAUUAGUAAAUGCACAAGGCAAAGAGUCAUCAAAUUGCAUUUUUUUUUUCUGAGGAAGGAUCAUUGGAUUGAAUUGUCCACCCCCACCAUGACUCACCGUAACACUCAUCAAUUCAAAAUGACACCCGCAGCUUGUGAAGGCACCGUGUUCGGCUGUGUAGGUGUACAUUAUUGGUUAAAAGUAAGUUCACAGUUCAAACAUAUACUACUGGAAUGGAAAAAUAAAUGUAUGCGAAAAAGAAGGAAGCUUCUUUUUACAUGCACACACUCACAAGCCAAUACCUUGGCAACAGCAGUGGUCAAGUCACUGGCAGGGGUGCCAGACGGCUGCAGGGACCGACAAAUCAGUCACACACACACACACACACACACACACACACACACUUUUGGCACUUAAUCCCAACUGGGGUCAGAAAGCGCUCACCAGGAAAAUGUUUAUGUGUGUGUUUGUGUGUGCGAUAUAUACAGUAUUUAUAGAUUGAAAGAGGAAGUCGGGGGGUGCCAACGGUUGCCUAAGGGGAGAGAGGGAGGGAGGGUUGUAGAAAUAUAGAGAAUAAUACAUAUAGAUGGUUAGAAAAACAAAGAAGAAAAGAUGGAUGGAUGAAUUCAGUAGACAGACAGACAGACAGACAGACAGAUAGAUAGAUAGAUAGAUAGAUAGAUAGAUAGAUAGAUAGAUAGAUAGAUAGAUAGAUAGAUAGAUAGAUAGAUAGAUAGAUAGAUAGAUAGAUAGAUAGAUCACGCGAUAUUCAUGUCUCUCUCAUGGUCAGAUUACAUGGAAAUGCUAAAUAAGCCAAAACUCUUUCAUGUCUUUGUGAUCAGCGUCUGUGAGCUGGUGAUCGUGACUUGGUCUGGUCUCUGCACUGUUACUGUGGAAGGUAUCUGAGCC